AGAGUUUGAUCAUGGCUCAGGAUGAACGCUAGCGGCAGGCUUAAUACAUGCAAGUCGUGGGGCAGCAUGACUGUAGCAAUACAGUUGAUGGCGACCGGCAAACGGGUGCGGAACACGUACACAACCUUCCUUUUAGUGGAGAAUAGCCCAGGGAAACUUGGAUUAAUACUCCGUAACAUAUAGAAGUGGCAUCACUUUUAUAUUAUAGCAGCAAUGCGCUAGAAGAUGGGUGUGCGGCUGAUUAGAUAGUUGGCGGGGUAACGGCCCACCAAGUCGACGAUCAGUAACUGGUGUGAGAGCACGACCAGUCACACGGGCACUGAGACACGGGCCCGACUCCUACGGGAGGCAGCAGUAAGGAAUAUUGGUCAAUGGACGCAAGUCUGAACCAGCCAUGCCGCGUGGAGGAUGAAGGUCCUCUGGAUUGUAAACUUCUUUUAUCUGGGAAGAAAUCCACUUUUCUAAGGUGGUUGACGGUACCAGAUGAAUAAGCACCGGCUAACUCCGUGCCAGCAGCCGCGGUA
Molecule: ribosomal RNA, 524 nt
Filed under: uncultured Bacteroidota bacterium
Lineage: Bacteria; Pseudomonadati; Bacteroidota
Description: bacterial SSU rRNA
Rfam family: Bacterial small subunit ribosomal RNA
Source: RNAcentral